UCAAAGGACAACUUACAAAGGCAUUUGGGAC
This 31-nucleotide non-coding RNA is filed under the name Rattus norvegicus (Norway rat). The record is from RNAcentral. Lineage: Eukaryota; Metazoa; Chordata; Mammalia; Rodentia; Muridae.